This 305-nucleotide unclassified non-coding RNA is filed under the name plant metagenome. RNAcentral's name for it is "partial contains 5.8S ribosomal RNA, internal transcribed spacer 2, and large subunit ribosomal RNA". The stretch from base 1 to 105 matches the Rfam family "5.8S ribosomal RNA", at positions 50 to 154 of the family's 154-position model. The record is from RNAcentral.
GAAAUGCGAUAAGUAAUGUUAAUUGCAGAAUUCAGUGAAUCAUCGAAUCUUUGAACGCACAUUGCGCCCGCCAGUAUUCUGGCGGGCAUGCCUGUUCGAGCGUCAUUUCAACCAUCAAGCCCCCGGCUUGUGUUGGGGACCUGCGGCUGCCCGCAGGCCCUGAAAAACAGUGGCGGGCUCGCUGUCACACCGAGCGUAGUAGCAUACAUUCUCGCUCAGGGCGUGCUGCGGGUUCCGGCCGUUAAACGACCUUCAUAACCCAAGGUUGACCUCGGAUCAGGUAGGAAGACCCGCUGAACUUAAGC